AGCUACCGGAAGAACACACUAGCUGCCAAUGCCACAAAGACCAAGCUGGAGAACAAAGGUAAAAGCAAGGCAUGCUGCUGCUAUGUCAAGGUCAGCAUGAAUGGAGCCCCAUACCUAAGGAAGGUCGACCUCAAGACUUAACUCGAGCUAUACAAGAAUCUUUCUCUAGAGCUCGAGAAGAUGUUCAGCUGCUUCAUCACUGAACACAUGUUCUUGCAAAACAUCAACAAGAGACAGGCUCACAAAUGGUUCUAGGAUAGAUGCUCUUUGGGACCAGGAGUAUGUCUUCACUUAUGAAGACAAGGAUGCUGAU
RNAcentral lists this ribosomal RNA (313 nucleotides) under Triticum aestivum (bread wheat). RNAcentral's name for it is "partial small subunit ribosomal RNA". Lineage: Eukaryota; Viridiplantae; Streptophyta; Magnoliopsida; Poales; Poaceae. The record is from RNAcentral.